CGGCAACAGCUCAAAUUUGAAAUCUGGCCCCAGCGGUCCGAGUUGUAAUUUGCAGAGGAUGCUUCUGGCGCGGUGCCUUCCGAGUUCCCUGGAACGGGACGCCAAAGAGGGUGAGAGCCCCGUGUGGUCGGACACCAAGCCUGUGUGAAGCUCCUUCGAC
RNAcentral lists this ribosomal RNA (160 nucleotides) under Phomopsis sp. Its description in RNAcentral is "partial large subunit ribosomal RNA". It matches the Rfam family "Eukaryotic large subunit ribosomal RNA", at positions 99 to 261 of the family's 3401-position model. Lineage: Eukaryota; Fungi; Ascomycota; Sordariomycetes; Diaporthales; Diaporthaceae. The record is from RNAcentral.